GAGUAGCUGGUAUUACAGGCGUGUGCCACAAAGCCUGGCUAAGUUUUGUAUUUUUAGUAGAGACGGGGUUUCACCAUGUUGGCCAGGUUGGUCUCGAACUCCUGACCUCAAGUGAUCCACUCACUUUGGCCUUUCAACGUGCUGGGAUUACAGGCGAGAGUCACCGCACCCGGACGACUCUGACAUUUUUGAAGAGUCCAGAAUCCUGUUACACCUGGGAUUUAGGCACUUUCAAUCUGAAAAAAUACAUAUCCUUUCAGCACUCUGGACGGACUUGAGAACUGUCCUUACGUGACCUAAAGCUGGAGUAUUUUGAGAUUGGAGAAUUAAGGCUACAGAGAAACAAGGAGACGGGAGAGCCUUGAAAUGGACCUUCAAGAUUACAAUGUGUAGCUGACAUUGUCAGUUAAGUUGGGCAGAUCUGACUUCGCUGAUUAAGUGGAUGUAUGAGCCGAUCCUCCCCAGAAGCUGGGAUCAGCUUCCCCAUCUGAUGAGCCAGUCUUGGUGCUCUGUGUUCACCUGGUUCAUCUGAGGAGCUGCAUCUACCCUGCCCAUGCCAUAGAUCCUGCCCUGUUUGCUUCUCCUGUUGCUGCUAGUGGACAUGAGGUAACCACAGCCUAGUUCUGUGAUAAGCUCUUCACACCUGUACCCAUAUGGACUGUGGGAGAGUUUCUCUGAUAUGGACUGUGAUGCGGAAGGACAGAAUAACGGGCUCCCAGAUUCACAAGCCCCACCAAGAGGAUCACCCCAGGAACGCUUGGAGGCUGAGGAGUUCACUGAGGCUACUGCAUCUUGAGACUCAGGAUGAAGACCCAGCUUGGGGCUGUCAAAGGUUUUUUGCAUGUCUGACACCCAUGACUCCACCUGGACCUUAUGGCUCCACCCAGAAGCAAUUCAGCCCAACAGGAGGACAGCUUCAACCCAUUACGAUUUCAUCUCUGCCCCAACCACUCAGCAGCAAGCACCUGUUACCUGUCCACCCCCACCCCUUCCCCCAAACUGCCUUUGAAAAAUCCCUAACCUAUGAGCUUUGAAUAAGAUGAGUACGAACUUCAUCGCCCACGUGGCGUGGCCGGCCUCGUGUCUAUUAAAUUCUUUUUCUACUACAA
RNAcentral lists this long non-coding RNA (1109 nucleotides) under Homo sapiens (human). RNAcentral describes it as "Pvt1 oncogene". The stretch from base 202 to 331 matches the Rfam family "Pvt1 oncogene conserved region 5". Lineage: Eukaryota; Metazoa; Chordata; Mammalia; Primates; Hominidae. The record is from RNAcentral.